Molecule: ribosomal RNA, 577 nt
Filed under: uncultured Bacilli bacterium
Lineage: Bacteria; Bacillati; Bacillota; Bacilli
Description: bacterial SSU rRNA
Rfam family: Bacterial small subunit ribosomal RNA
Source: RNAcentral
UAGCUAAUACCGCAUAACAGUAGAUGUUGCAUGACAUUUGCUUAAAAGGUGCAAUUGCAUCACUACCAGAUGGACCUGCGUCGUAUAAGCUAGUUGGUGGGGUAACGGCUCACCAAGGCGACGAUACAUAGCCGACCUGAGAGGGUGAUCGGCCACACUGGGACUGAGACACGGCCCAGACUCCUACGGGAGGCAGCAGUAGGGAAUCUUCGGCAAUGGACGGAAGUCUGACCGAGCAACGCCGCGUGAGUGAAGAAGGUUUUCGGAUCGUAAAGCUCUGUUGUAAGAGAAGAACGAGUGUGAGAGUGGAAAGUUCACACUGUGACGGUAUCUUACCAGAAAGGGACGGCUAACUACGUGCCAGCAGCCGCGGUAAUACGUAGGUCCCGAGCGUUGUCCGGAUUUAUUGGGCGUAAAGCGAGCGCAGGCGGUUAGAUAAGUCUGAAGUUAAAGGCUGUGGCUUAACCAUAGUACGCUUUGGAAACUGUUUAACUUGAGUGCAAGAGGGGAGAGUGGAAUUCCAUGUGUAGCGGUGAAAUGCGUAGAUAUAUGGAGGAACACCGGUGGCGAAAGCGGC